UACGUAGGGUGCAAGCGUUGUCCGGAAUUAUUGGGCGUAAAGAGCUCGUAGGCGGUUUGUCACGUCGGAUGUGAAAACUCGGGGCUUAACCCCGAGCCUGCAUACGAUACGGGCAGACUUGAGUUCGGCAGGGGAGACUGGAAUUCCUGGUGUAGCGGUGAAAUGCGCAGAUAUCAGGAGGAACACCGGUGGCGAAGGCGGGUCUCUGGGCCGAUACUGACGCUGAGGAGCGAAAGCGUGGGGAGCGAACAGG
Molecule: ribosomal RNA, 253 nt
Filed under: uncultured bacterium
Lineage: Bacteria
Description: partial 16S ribosomal RNA
Rfam family: Bacterial small subunit ribosomal RNA
Source: RNAcentral